UUACGGGUACAGCAGCAGCGUGGCCUAUUCGGAGCGGCUAGAGGAUAGGAGAGCCGCUCUGUUUUGGUGUGUUUUAGCGCGCGUUUUUGGUGGGGGUGGUGGCGCCUGUGGUGGCGUCCCGCAUUCGCGCGUGCGGCAGCUCCAGGUGGUACUGGUACGAGCGAAGGGAGAAGAGGGGAAGGGGAGAGGAGUGGUGGCGGCGGAGGUGGAGGAGGAGACGGUGGAGCGUCGGUCGCGGUGUCUGACACUCCGAGGGCCGAGGGUCCGGCGAGUGGCGGUGUGACCGGCGCCGUCGGCGCCGGCCGGAGGAGGACGAUUGGGGGCGUCGCGGCAGCGUGCGCCUCCCCCUCAAGUUCCACAUGAUGCCGUGCCGCCGCUCGCGCCGGUUGAUGCCGCCCAUGCCGCCGUUGCGCUUGUUCUCCCUGCGCCGCCUCAUGCACAUGCUGCACGGGCUCCCCACCUUUCUCGCAGACCACAGUUUCCACCUCUUCCCGUGGUUGCCGUGCCUGUCGCUCAAGAAGUUGGGCGCGUUCGCGAGGCUCGCCCUCAUGGAGUGGAAGGAGAGGCCCAAGGCGUUCGACCGGGGGCAGCCGCGGCACGACCUGUUGGAGCGUGAGAGGCUGCAGCCCGACGUCCUGGUCUAGAGCAGCCGCCUGCUGCACUGCAGCCGCCUCGCCUUCCUGCGCCUGCCCGUCCACAUGAUGCUCAUGCUCCACCGGCCGCGGCCGCGCGUGUCGGAGUAGAGACACUGCACGCGGGCCUUGUUCGAGAUGCGCGUGAAGCAGUGCCGCGGGUUGGGGCUCACCCCCGCGCUGCUCCGGCAGGAGGCGGCGGACGUGGUCAGGAAGUUCUGGCAGCUGAAGUCGCCGGUUCUAAUUGUACGUACGACGCGCAAUGAAUUCGCCAAAACAUAUCCGCAAUAGUAGCUUCUUCUCCGUUAACUAGACCUACUAAUAAGUCUUGGCCGUAUGUCAUAGAACUAGACAUUUAACGAAAGAAGGAUACAAAGUUGUCGGGACUGUCCCGCCUGGGCGUCCAGUCGCUCCUGGUAGCGUAGUGGUGCCGAGGCGCGCGCUGGUCCGGGUCCUUCGGGUUGGGUUCGCAGUAACCCGACCGAACCCAUUUGACUUCGGGCCGAUGUGCUGAUGAACUCCUCCCUAGCUCUAGUUCGCGUCCGUGCUGCUGUGCCGAGAAUAAGGGAAGGGGAGGAGAGAGCGGUGCUUGGGAUCGAUAGGGGUAAGAACAUUAGAAGGACAUUAGCGAUGGUCUAACUUGGAAAUACUCACUUCACAACGAUCAUUAGUACUCUAGGGAGAGGUGGGAGUGUAGACCAUAGUCUCUGGUCGUUAAGG
This 1352-nucleotide ribosomal RNA is filed under the name Triticum aestivum (bread wheat). RNAcentral describes it as "partial small subunit ribosomal RNA". The record is from RNAcentral. Lineage: Eukaryota; Viridiplantae; Streptophyta; Magnoliopsida; Poales; Poaceae.